Molecule: ribosomal RNA, 416 nt
Filed under: uncultured bacterium
Lineage: Bacteria
Description: partial 16S ribosomal RNA
Rfam family: Bacterial small subunit ribosomal RNA
Source: RNAcentral
UAUUGGUCAAUGGGCUAAGGCCUGAACCAGCCAAGUCGCGUGAGGGAAGACGGUCCUAUGGANUAUAAACCUCUUUUGUCGGGGANNACNNNGNCCACGUGUGGCCGAAGUGAGAGUACCCGAAGAAAAANNNUNGNCUAACUCCGUGCCAGCAGCCGCGGUAAUACGGAGGAUGCGAGCGUUAUCCGGAUUUAUUGGGUUUAAAGGGUGCGUAGGCGGAACAUUAAGUCAGCGGUAAAAUCGAGGGGCUCAACCCCUUUAAGCCGUUGAAACUGGUGAUCUUGAGUGGGCGAGAAGUAUGCGGAAUGCGUGGUGUAGCGGUGAAAUGCAUAGAUAUCACGCAGAACUCCGAUUGCGAAGGCAGCAUACCGGCGCCCGACUGACGCUGAGGCACGAAAGCGUGGGGAUCGAACAGG